This 309-nucleotide unclassified non-coding RNA is filed under the name uncultured fungus. RNAcentral describes it as "sequence contains ITS2". The record is from RNAcentral. Lineage: Eukaryota; Fungi.
AACGCAUCUUGCGCUCUUUAGUAUUCUGAAGAGCAUGCCUGUUUGAGUAUCAUAAAAAUUUCAAAAUUAUUAGCUUUUCUUUUUGAAAUGCUUUAAUAAUGCUUGGAUUUUGGAAGUUGCUGGCUUUUUGAAUAAUUCAAUCAGCUCUUCUUAAAUGUAAUAGUCAUGAUUGCUACUAGAUCAGUAUUUGAUAUAAUAAUUAUUUAUAUCAUUACUGAAAUAGAUUUCCUUUAUGGAAAAAAUAAUCUUGCUUUAAAUUUAAUUGAAUAAUUUGAUCUCAAAUCAGGUAGGAUUACCCGCUGAACUUAA